GGAGGGAUGGCAGAGCGGUUUAAUGCAACAGUCUUGAAAACUGUCGUGGCGCAAGUCACCCUGAGUUCGAAUCUCAGUCCCUCCGCCA
This 88-nucleotide transfer RNA is filed under the name Candidatus Altimarinota bacterium. RNAcentral's name for it is "tRNA-Ser". It matches the Rfam family "tRNA". Rfam says of the family: Transfer RNA (tRNA) molecules are approximately 80 nucleotides in length. Lineage: Bacteria; Candidatus Altimarinota. The record is from RNAcentral. RNAcentral also lists the same sequence under 2 other names.